This 64-nucleotide transfer RNA is filed under the name Nuttallina californica. RNAcentral's name for it is "tRNA-Asn". Lineage: Eukaryota; Metazoa; Mollusca; Polyplacophora; Chitonida; Tonicellidae. The record is from RNAcentral.
UGAAUAUAAGCUCUAUGUAGCUUUUGGCUGUUAACCAAAAAGGAAUAAAAUAAUUUAUAUAUUC